Vigna angularis (adzuki bean) is the source of this 1925-nucleotide RNA transcript. It is a transcript of the gene named putative DUF21 domain-containing protein At3g13070, chloroplastic, with no coding region annotated. Lineage: Eukaryota; Viridiplantae; Streptophyta; Magnoliopsida; Fabales; Fabaceae. The transcript is spliced from 8 exons. The record is from RefSeq and is a predicted model, not a curated record.
GAAAUACAAUUUUGAGCUUCCCUCUAUCUUAGCGAAAAAAGCCAGCUCAAAACGCGAAUUGUUCCUCCAGCUUCUCAUUUGCGAAUUCUUCCCUCCACCUUCUCAAAACCCACCUUUCCUUCUCACUCUCUCCCAUGUUUUAUUUGUUUGAGUUUGGAUUUAUUGCUCCCCGAGUAUGCAAUGAAUCGAUUGUGAACUGCCUUUCAGUUUCUUUGUCGAUUCUGCAGAGCAUUUUUGCCUUCAUUGUGAAUAUUUAGUUCAUUGGGACAAUCAGCCCUGUUCACUGGGACCCUUUUUUUUCAGUUGUGUUGGUCCAUCCACUUUUUCAACCCUUCAGGUUUCAAAUUUUGGAGCAGAUGCCAAGUUACUAGAUUGAACUCGGUUCAGGUGUUUAUAUGAUAGCAGCGAUAGUUUGAGUGAGACAAAUGUUGUUUUCGAAACCAGUUUGAACUUUAUGCAAGAAUUGUUGAAGAGGGGCAUUAUCCCAGUUGCAACUGUUUGUGGGGUUUUGGAGUUUGGAUGUCCACGCGUUUUCGCAGUUGAAGGUGUUGUGGAUGCAAGAUAUGGCGUUAUUGGACAGAGCAUACUUUUGCUUAGAAAUACUUGGCCUAAAGUGUUGCAAGUUCUUCGCAUAUUCAAGGAACAAGGUUUGGUGCUGGCAGUGCUUUUGGGCCUUUCGGCCUUUUUCUUUAUGGCAGAGACUUCAAUUACCACACUUUGGGCUUGGGAGGGUAUAGCUUUUAAGCUUGCUAAGAAAAAGAAAGGUAUGAUGAUUGGUUUUGUUUCUUUUGAAGAUGAAGAAUUGAAAAGUUCAUCAAAGAAUUUUGAAGGAAAAACAACAAAACGGUAAAAGUUGUUGAUGUCAUUCCUCGAUCAUUUCAAAAGAAAACUAACUCCAAUGUUGCUUCCCAUCAAGAUUGGAUGAAGGGGAUGAUCCUUCGAGUGGAGCUUUGGAUGCCGAAACAAAUAACGAUAAGUUGGAACUUUGGAUGCAAGGUUCGAUUUCUCAUUAGGCAUUUGUUUUCUUGAUUAUGUGUAAUGUUUUAGGGUACCGAUCUUGAUGCUUAAUGUUUGUUUGUUUAGUAGAACCAGUGCAGGUCUAAGGGAAGUGAGGCAUUACUUACAGGCCUAAACAAAAUAUCAUUACCAUUUCCUUAUACUCUUUCCAUUAUUCUAUUGACCAUUCUAUACGUGAAUAUCAUUUAGAUUAUGUAUGUAACAUUGACUUCAUCCCCCAGAUGGAUUGUUCCUUAUAGAAGUUGAUCGUGUUCUUAAACCUGAAGGAUAUUUUGUUUUAACCUUACCUACAAGGAGACCACAUGGUUCAUCCAAGGAGAAAAAGAGAUAAUGUUCAAAUUUGAUACCUUGUUUAGGGAAAUUGAGUGUAGUACUGCUCACAUUGACACUCUUUUACUGGGACUGUUUCUUGCAUACCAAAUUUGAGAUUCAGGUUCUAGAAGGUGUAAUUAAGUAUAUAGAUGUAAUGCAUUACUUGUUGAGCAGCGAGAUGGAAUGUCAAAUUUCAUCUCUGAUGUCAUUGCACAGCUUUCUAGCAAUGAUGCUUCAUUUCGAGCUGAAAGUUUGUAACGGGAACAAACUCAACAUUAUAUUAGUUCAGAUUUUGAAGCAUGAAUGGCCGGCAAGAUGGCGAAGCUUUAAUCCAGACAUUGUCUCUGUAACUAAAUCUAGUGAAACAAUUUGUCAAAAAUAGUAUCGCUAUAUUGAAACAGCAACUUGGUUUGUAUUUAACUUCUCCCUCCUUCCUUCCUUCGUCAUGUCAAUAUCAACAACACCCAAGAAAUGGAGGCAGCAAUGCAGGGUUGGAAAGUGUCUAAAAUAUAACCAAUAAGGUGGAAACUGUGCCACGAUUAGUGUAAACCACAAAUUGUCACCAUCAUUCAAUUUUAAUUAUUUUAAUUUAUUUC